This 541-nucleotide ribosomal RNA is filed under the name Escherichia coli. RNAcentral describes it as "bacterial SSU rRNA". It matches the Rfam family "Bacterial small subunit ribosomal RNA", at positions 642 to 1183 of the family's 1533-position model. The record is from RNAcentral. Lineage: Bacteria; Pseudomonadati; Pseudomonadota; Gammaproteobacteria; Enterobacterales; Enterobacteriaceae.
UUGAGUCUCGUAGAGGGGGGUAGAAUUCCAGGUGUAGCGGUGAAAUGCGUAGAGAUCUGGAGGAAUACCGGUGGCGAAGGCGGCCCCCUGGACGAAGACUGACGCUCAGGUGCGAAAGCGUGGGGAGCAAACAGGAUUAGAUACCCUGGUAGUCCACGCCGUAAACGAUGUCGACUUGGAGGUUGUGCCCUUGAGGCGUGGCUUCCGGAGCUAACGCGUUAAGUCGACCGCCUGGGGAGUACGGCCGCAAGGUUAAAACUCAAAUGAAUUGACGGGGGCCCGCACAAGCGGUGGAGCAUGUGGUUUAAUUCGAUGCAACGCGAAGAACCUUACCUGGUCUUGACAUCCACGGAAGUUUUCAGAGAUGAGAAUGUGCCUUCGGGAACCGUGAGACAGGUGCUGCAUGGCUGUCGUCAGCUCGUGUUGUGAAAUGUUGGGUUAAGUCCCGCAACGAGCGCAACCCUUAUCCUUUGUUGCCAGCGGUCCGGCCGGGAACUCAAAGGAGACUGCCAGUGAUAAACUGGAGGAAGGUGGGGAUGAC